UUAAAAUCUUUUUCCAUUUGCUUAUUUUGUGAUUAAAUGUGACGAUUUUCCUGGUUCCACAGACCAGCCUGGCUGCGUGUGACCAUGAGACAGACUUGUAGCUCCUGAGAAGAUGGAAAUAGGAGAGUUCAGGGAACGAGCACGGUAGACGUGAUUGCUCUGGUCACUGUCUGAACCUGUGGAGGAGACCAUCAGUCUUCCCCGGAGACCAGAGCACAGGAGACCUCACACUAUGGCUGCUUCUCCAUUUGAUUCCAUCUACUAGAUGGGAUGAUGCAUAGCUAUUUCAGGUAAAUUUUUCAGAUUAGUGGUUUAGAGUCAUUGUUUUAGUUUUAUUAAGGAAAAUGUUAAAUGUUCUAAAAAUAAAGCAGUUAUUUUCACUACCUCUUUUUUCUCUUAGUAUUUUGAGGUCCUAUAUGCAGCUUCUAUCUUCACCUUUAUCAGGGAAUUGCCUAUAGCAUCACCUGGCACUGCUAACUUAGAUCAAGAAAUUGCGAUCCAGAGAAGGGAAGUGGCUUUGCCCCCAGCUACAGAAGUGGUAAAGGACCAACUGUCAAUGAAGACUUGAAUUUCCUCCUUCCCUCCCUCCUUCCUUUUCUCCCUCCCUCCCUCUCUUUCUUUCUUUCUUUCUUUCUUUCUUUCUUUCUUUUCUUUCUUUCUUUCUUUCUUUCCUUUCUUUCUUUUAGAGAGAGAGAGAGAGAGCGCACAAGCAGGGGGAGGGGCAGAGGGAGAGGGAGAAGUAGACUCCCCCCACUGAGCAGGGAGCCUGACACAGGGCUCAAUCCCAGGAUCCUGGGACCAUGACCUGAGCCAAAGGCAGAUGUUUAAUUGACUGAGCAACCCAGGCGUCUCUCCUUCAUUUCUUUAAAGCCUCGUCCUUAAAAGUCAC
RNAcentral lists this long non-coding RNA (889 nucleotides) under Vulpes vulpes (red fox). RNAcentral describes it as "lncRNA (ENSVVUG00000014560.1)". Lineage: Eukaryota; Metazoa; Chordata; Mammalia; Carnivora; Canidae. The record is from RNAcentral.